This 2351-nucleotide ribosomal RNA is filed under the name Streptococcus pneumoniae. RNAcentral describes it as "23S ribosomal RNA". It matches the Rfam family "Bacterial large subunit ribosomal RNA", at positions 3 to 2350 of the family's 2925-position model. The record is from RNAcentral. Lineage: Bacteria; Bacillati; Bacillota; Bacilli; Lactobacillales; Streptococcaceae.
UUAAGUUAGAAAGGGCGCACGGUGGAUGCCUUGGCACUAGGAGCCGAUGAAGGACGGGACGAACACCGAUAUGCUUCGGGGAGCUGUAAGCAAGCUUUGAUCCGGAGAUUUCCGAAUGGGGAAACCCACCACUCGUAAUGGAGUGGUAUCCAUAUCUGAAUUCAUAGGAUAUGAGAAGGCAGACCCGGGGAACUGAAACAUCUAAGUACCCGGAGGAAGAGAAAGCAAAUGCGAUUCCCUGAGUAGCGGCGAGCGAAACGGGAUUAGCCCAAACCAAGAGGCUUGCCUCUUGGGGUUGUAGGACACUCUGUACGGAGUUACAAAGGAACGAGGUAGAUGAAGAGGUCUGGAAAGGCCCGCCAUAGGAGGUAACAGCCCUGUAGUCAAAACUUCGUUCUCUCCUGAGUGGAUCCUGAGUACGGCGGAACACGUGAAAUUCCGUCGGAAUCCGGGAGGACCAUCUCCCAAGGCUAAAUACUCCCUAGUGACCGAUAGUGAACCAGUACCGUGAGGGAAAGGUGAAAAGCACCCCGGAAGGGGAGUGAAAGAGAUCCUGAAACCGUGUGCCUACAAGUAGUCAGAGCCCGUUAACGGGUGAUGGCGUGCCUUUUGUAGAAUGAACCGGCGAGUUACGAUCCCGUGCAAGGUUAAGCAGAAGAUGCGGAGCCGCAGCGAAAGCGAGUCUGAAUAGGGCGCAUGAGUACGUGGUCGUAGACCCGAAACCAGGUGAUCUACCCAUGUCCAGGGUGAAGUUCAGGUAACACUGAAUGGAGGCCCGAACCCACGCACGUUGAAAAGUGCGGGGAUGAGGUGUGGGUAGGGGUGAAAUGCCAAUCGAACCUGGAGAUAGCUGGUUCUCUCCGAAAUAGCUUUAGGGCUAGCCUCAAGGUAAGAGUCUUGGAGGUAGAGCACUGAUUGGACUAGGGGCCCCUACCGGGUUACCGAAUUCAGUCAAACUCCGAAUGCCAAUGACUUAUCCUUGGGAGUCAGACUGCGAGUGAUAAGAUCCGUAGUCGAAAGGGAAACAGCCCAGACCGCCAGCUAAGGUCCCAAAGUAUACGUUAAGUGGAAAAGGAUGUGGAGUUGCUUAGACAACCAGGAUGUUGGCUUAGAAGCAGCCACCAUUUAAAGAGUGCGUAAUAGCUCACUGGUCGAGUGACUCUGCGCCGAAAAUGUACCGGGGCUAAACGUAUCACCGAAGCUGCGGACUGUUCUUCGAACAGUGGUAGGAGAGCGUUCUAAGGGCUGUGAAGCCAGACCGGAAGGACUGGUGGAGCGCUUAGAAGUGAGAAUGCCGGUAUGAGUAGCGAAAGAGGGGUGAGAAUCCCCUCCACCGAAUGCCUAAGGUUUCCUGAGGAAGGCUCGUCCGCUCAGGGUUAGUCGGGACCUAAGCCGAGGCCGAAAGGCGUAGGCGAUGGACAACAGGUUGAUAUUCCUGUACCACCUCCUCACCAUUUGAGCAAUGGGGGGACGCAGGAGGAUAGGGUAAGCGCGGUAUUGGAUAUCCGCGUCCAAGCAGUUAGGCUGGGAAAUAGGCAAAUCCGUUUCCCAUAAGGCUGAGCUGUGAUGGCGAGCGAAAUAUAGUAGCGAAGUUCCUGAUUCCACACUGCCAAGAAAAGCCUCUAGCGAGGUGAGAGGUGCCCGUACCGCAAACCGACACAGGUAGGCGAGGAGAGAAUCCUAAGGUGAUCGAGAGAACUCUCGUUAAGGAACUCGGCAAAAUGACCCCGUAACUUCGGGAGAAGGGGUGCUCUGUUAGGGUGCAAGCCCGAGAGAGCCGCAGUGAAUAGGCCCAGGCGACUGUUUAGCAAAAACACAGGUCUCUGCGAAGCCGUAAGGCGAAGUAUAGGGGCUGACGCCUGCCCGGUGCUGGAAGGUUAAGAGGAGCGCUUAGCGUAAGCGAAGGUGCGAAUUGAAGCCCCAGUAAACGGCGGCCGUAACUAUAACGGUCCUAAGGUAGCGAAAUUCCUUGUCGGGUAAGUUCCGACCCGCACGAAAGGCGCAACGAUCUGGGCACUGUCUCAACGAGAGACUCGGUGAAAUUAUAGUACCUGUGAAGAUGCAGGUUACCCGCGACAGGACGGAAAGACCCCGUGGAGCUUUACUGCAGCCUGAUAUUGAAUGUUGGUACAGCUUGUACAGGAUAGGUAGGAGCCUUGGAAACCGGAGCGCCAGCUUCGGUGGAGGCAUCGGUGGGAUACUACCCUGGCUGUAUUGACCUUCUAACCCGCCGCCCUUAUCGGGCGGGGAGACAGUGUCAGGUGGGCAGUUUGACUGGGGCGGUCGCCUCCUAAAAGGUAACGGAGGCGCCCAAAGGUUCCCUCAGAAUGGUUGGAAAUCAUUCGCAGAGU